Molecule: long non-coding RNA, 898 nt
Filed under: Mus spicilegus (steppe mouse)
Lineage: Eukaryota; Metazoa; Chordata; Mammalia; Rodentia; Muridae
Description: lncRNA (ENSMSIG00000005237.1)
Source: RNAcentral
UAAUAACAUUUUUUUUCAAGACAACAGAAACUUCUGAGAGAAUAGAGAGACAGGCUGAGGAAAGCAAGAGAGUCUCAAUGUGCUGCUAAGUGUGAUCAGACAACAAUGGAAAAUAUCACAGCCAUUCACAUGAACAAGCAAUGAAUGCCACAUUUUCUCCUGCUUCAAGUCAAGCCACAAGCAUGGCGUCGCUUCACUGUUGGAAACAGCAUGGAAACAUGGAAUAUGCAGUGCUACCGCACUGUGCCUCCUCACUGCUGCAGCCUGAGUCAUUCAGAAGUCGCUGCAAACAGGAUGGGAGCCCACACCAGUGCCAUCACAGCUUCUGUCUCUUAAGUCUGACAGGUCCAGACUAUUAAACUCUCCAUGCUACCUUCAGCUACACGAGUCUCUGAAGUUCCUAUGAUCCUCAGAGACACGUCCUCUGGAUUUGUAUCCCGUGGAACCUAAUCUGGUAUAGUAGUUUGGGUUUUAUUGCUGCGAAGAGACACAAUGACCAUGGCAACUUUUAUACACAAAGCAUUUAAUUAGGACUGAACCAAUUUCAGAGUUUCAGUCCAUUAUUAUCAUAGCAGGAAGCAUGGCAGUGUGCAUGCAGACAUGGUGCUUGGAGGAGCCAAGAGUUCUAUAUCUUGAUCUGAAGUCAGCAGCAGAUUGUGAGCACGGGUAACUACGAGGGGACUGUCUUCUGUAGGCAACCAGCAAGAAGCUCUGGAUCACACUGGCCAGACCUGAACGUAUGCCAGACCUCAAGGACUAUCUGCACCAAACUCAUUCCUGUAACAUGGCUAAACUUGUUCUAAAAAGCCACACCUCUUAAUAGUGCCACUUCCCAUGGGCCAAUCAAAUUCAAACCAGCACAACUGGCAAGGAAUUCUGGCCAUAUUUUAUAACUGGG